GUGAUUAAAUCGAGCGUGUCUUCAUUGACCGCUCACCCUUCUCACCAUCCACAUACACCUGUGCACUGUUUAGCCUGAGCCGGUUUUCCGGUCCAGGUUAUCAUUCCAUACAAACUCUAGUCUUAUGAAUGUAAACGUUUUAAUAACACAAUA
Molecule: unclassified non-coding RNA, 153 nt
Filed under: soil metagenome
Description: partial internal transcribed spacer 1
Source: RNAcentral